RNAcentral lists this unclassified non-coding RNA (345 nucleotides) under soil metagenome. RNAcentral's name for it is "partial contains 5.8S ribosomal RNA, internal transcribed spacer 2, and large subunit ribosomal RNA". The stretch from base 1 to 120 matches the Rfam family "5.8S ribosomal RNA", at positions 35 to 154 of the family's 154-position model. The record is from RNAcentral.
GAUGAAGAACGUAGCGAAAUGCGAUACGUAAUGUGAAUUGCAGAAUUCAGUGAAUCAUCGAGUCUUUGAACGCACAUUGCGCCCCCUGGUAUUCCGGGGGGCAUGCCUGUCCGAGCGUCAUUGCUGCCCUCAAGCACGGCUUGUGUGUUGGGCCUCCGUCCUCCUCCCGGGGGACGGGCCCGAAAGGCAGCGGCGGCACCGCGUCCGGUCCUCGAGCGUAUGGGGCUUCGUCACCCGCUCUUGUAGGGCCGGCCGGCGCUUGCCGACACAUCAAUCUUUUUUCCAGGUUGACCUCGGAUCAGGUAGGGAUACCCGCUGAACUUAAGCAUAUCAAUAAGCGGAGGA